Gossypium raimondii (Peruvian cotton) is the source of this 106-nucleotide small nucleolar RNA. It matches the Rfam family "Plant small nucleolar RNA R71". Rfam says of the family: R71 is a member of the C/D box family of snoRNAs containing the C (UGAUGA) and D (CUGA) box motifs. Multiple nearly identical copies of this snoRNA have been identified in Arabidopsis, and it is thought to function as a 2'-O-ribose methylation guide for 18S ribosomal RNA. The record is from Rfam. Lineage: Eukaryota; Viridiplantae; Streptophyta; Magnoliopsida; Malvales; Malvaceae.
AAUCGAUGAUGUGCGCACUUCCUUAGCAUUAUUUUAAAAUGCUCUCACGCCUUGUAUAGGGUCUCACUUUCGUAUUGUUUGAAAUUUGCGAUUUCUCACCUCAACU